CGAACGCUGGCGGCGUGCCUAAUACAUGCAAGUCGAACGAACCGCGACUAAGUGCUUGCACUAAGUCAAGGUGAGUGGCGAACGGGUGAGUAACACGUGGGUAACCUACCUCAUAGUGGGGGAUAACAGUCGGAAACGACUGCUAAUACCGCAUAGGACAUAGGAUCACAUGAUCCAGUGAGGAAAGGUGGCGCAAGCUAUCGCUAAGAGAUGGACCCGCGGUGCAUUAGCUAGUUGGUAGGGUAAAGGCCUACCAAGGCGAUGAUGCAUAGCCGACCUGAGAGGGUGAUCGGCCACAUUGGGACUGAGACACGGCCCAAACUCCUACGGGAGGCAGCAGUAGGGAAUCUUCCGCAAUGGACGCAAGUCUGACGGAGCAACGCCGCGUGAGUGGAGAAGGUCUUCGGAUCGUAAAGCUCUGUUGUUAGAGAAGAACAGCGCAUAGAGUAACUGCUAUGCGUGUGACGGUAUCUAACCAGAAAGCCACGGCUAACUACGUG
Molecule: ribosomal RNA, 500 nt
Filed under: uncultured bacterium
Lineage: Bacteria
Description: partial 16S ribosomal RNA
Rfam family: Bacterial small subunit ribosomal RNA
Source: RNAcentral